UGGGGAAUAUUGCACAAUGGGGGAAACCCUGAUGCAGCGACGCCGCGUGAGCGAAGAAGGCUUUCGAGUCGUAAAGCUCUGUCCUAUGAGAAGAUAAUGACGGUAUCAUAGGAGGAAGCCCUGGCUAAAUACGUGCCAGCAGCCGCGGUAAUACGUAUGGGGCGAGCGUUGUCCGGAAUUAUUGGGCGUAAAGGGUACGUAGGCGGUUUUUUAAGUCAGGUGUCAAAGCGUGGAGCUUAACUCCAUUAAGCACUUGAAACUGAAAGACUUGAGUGAAGGAGAGGAAAGUGGAAUUCCUAGUGGAGCGGUGAAAUGCGUAGAUAUUAGGAGGAAUACCGGUGGCGAAGGCGACUGUCUGGACUGUUACUGACGCUCAGGUACGAAAGCGUGGGGAGCAAACAGG
RNAcentral lists this ribosomal RNA (403 nucleotides) under Verrucomicrobiota bacterium. RNAcentral describes it as "Verrucomicrobia bacterium partial 16S ribosomal RNA". It matches the Rfam family "Bacterial small subunit ribosomal RNA", at positions 355 to 776 of the family's 1533-position model. The record is from RNAcentral. Lineage: Bacteria; Pseudomonadati; Verrucomicrobiota.